This is a long non-coding RNA of Jaculus jaculus (lesser Egyptian jerboa), 3298 nucleotides long. RefSeq lists it as uncharacterized. NCBI's taxonomy places the organism in Eukaryota, Metazoa, Chordata, Mammalia, Rodentia, Dipodidae. The transcript is spliced from 3 exons. The record is from RefSeq and is a predicted model, not a curated record.
AUUCCUUUGUAUGAUAAGCAUCCUGUCUUCCAUUUGGAUGGUCCACCCUUUUCUCCCUGGAGAGGACUCGAGCUGUGUAUGGCUAACUCGGACCUCUCAGCUGUCCGAGGGGACGAAAAUCCCUUUGUGGCGUGAAAAGAGAGGCGUUCCUGCCAUCCCCUCCCUCGAACUGAUUGGCUAUGUCACAAGAUGGCCAAAUCCACCCGGAUUAAUGUGCUGCAGGCCGGCCAAGGGCUGCGGUGUGUGGGGACCACGUCUGAGUCCAGCCCUUCGGGGGAUGUUUAUUCAUGGGCUACAUCUGCUGGCUGGCAGGCGACAUGUCUCUUGUUAGAAAGAAUGUCUGGGAGUCCCCAAGGAGCCAGGGACACGGGCACAUUCCUUCGGAGACCUGGCUUUCUCCCUUGCUCAGUUAAGCCUGGAGCUUUCUGGGCUCACCUGUCAUCUCGGCCCUCCACCCCAGCAGCCUCCUGAGGGGACCCACACUUCUUCCCUGGGGACUCUCUAUUCUCCUUUCCCGCCUUCAGAGCUAGGAGAACCCUUUCUCUCUUUGAUUAAAGCUUUUUAAUUUAUAAAUUUUUUGUCCUUGCCAGUUCUACCUGAAGCUCCUCCGUUUUUGUAGCUUCUCUGCAUGCAUAGUCCCAGGCCUUAUAAAACAGCUGAGAUUAAGGACGUGUGAGGAGGCCAUAUGGAAACCUAUUACUCCUAAGCCAACUUUAAAAAUAAAUUUAAAAACAUGUUUAAAUGGAGGGCCUCAACAUGGAUGGAUAAAGCUGCUUCCAGAAUCAUUGGGUAUGAACUGAAAAAUCGCAGUGCCAGGGAUGAGAUACCUCUGAGUGAGCUGAUGGCCAGCCAGGUCAUAGAGACCCUCAAACAGAACGGGCCUUGCCUGGCUCUGGGUUACUCACAGAGCUAGAUGGUAAUUCCCUACUGACGACGCUACACACUUCAGCAGCAGGAAGUAAAACCAAGCUGGAAGCUUACUACUUAUGGGCCAGCUCUCCUUGUGCCAGAAGGUGCUUCACGAGGCUCUGGGAGAGAAAAUGAGUUAACGAUCCUUCCUGACCUGGCUGCGGACCCUGCGUAUCUCACAAUGAAAUGGCAAGGCAACAUGUGUCUGCUGCUGCAACAGUGGCAGGAGAGUUAUAGGAGUAGCCAGUUGCUCUCUGAUUGGAUUUGAGGCCAGUUCUACAGAGGGGAAAUCAUGCCUGAUAUUGUAGAUCUGGCCAAAAGUCUGAGCCUAGGGACCUACGCCCUAGGGGGGAGCCUCAUACUGUGUGUGCUAAUUGGACAGCAGCAAACCACUUCUAAAUAUUCUAAAUAUUAGGUUUGCUUUCAUAAAUUGAUACUACUUGCAGCCUCAGACACAGAAGUUUCUUUAUGCAAGGGGUAAGGUGGAUGCAGAGGUGUACAGAUGGCCAAGUCACCAAGAAGAAGCGACUGGUUCGUGCUCAGCCCUCAACAUGAACCACACCGUCCAAGGCUCAGGGAACCUUGUGAAAGAGGCAGAGAGACCGUGAAAGAGGAAGGAGGGUGAGACGUGGGACCAGGAAUGCCUUCAUCGGGACAGACAAAUCCGACCACCGAACACGGACUCACAGUGGGGGGAGGGUUCCUGCACAUGACUGAGCCCGUCAUUGUCUCGGCACAGGUGAGGGUCUCAGAGGAUGCGGUAUGUCUGUGGCUGACCUUUGGUCAGCCCACUUGUCUCUCUCUAGUGGAGUCUUUGGAAAGCAAAGGCUGCUGGGUGAAGGAACAAAUGAAUACAAGGAGUGAAGCUUUGGGCUGGACCCACAUGCCGAGGCCUCUGGGAUGCUGGGAUCACUGUGGGCAGUGUCUCUUCCUCCCAUCUGUGUACUUGGACUAGAUUUUUUUCUGAUAUGUCUUUCCGUUCAUCCUGGGUGCAUUCAGAAGCUUAGACACUGAAGGCAAAAGAAAGCUCUGACACGGGGUGUACUGAGGCACCCACACCCGAUUUGGGGGAACAAGAUGUCCCUUCCUGUCCCUCCCAGGUAAAUCUGUAUGUAGGAUCAGCUCCAUGACAGUGAAGCCAAUGAUGAUUUUAUGAUUGACAGCUGGGAAUGUCAUCAUUUACUCCUCUGUGUGUGUGCAUGUGUGUGUGUAGGUGUACAUAUCGAAGUGCAUAUGUGUGUGCAUACAUGCAAGAGAAAGAGGUCAAUGUCUACUGUUUGUGCUUUAAUUUAUCUCUCACCCCCCAUUUUCCAUUCUCACGCAAGCUCACCUGGAACUCAUCACUGCCUUGAACUCAGAGCGAUCUUCCUACCUCCACCUUACUUCUCGAGACAGGGUAUCUCACUGAAUCCAGAGCUCACUGAUUCUAACUAGGCAGCUUGCCCUGGGGAUCCACCUAUCUCUACUUCCUCAGUGCUGGGAUUACAGGCAAGGGCUGCCAAACUCAGCACUUAAGGGGGUGCUGGGGAUUUGAGCUCAGAUCUUCAUGCUUGCAUGGCAAGUGCUUUAUAGACUGAGCCCUCUCCUACCCCUGUUUUCACUAUUUUCUAAUGUAAAUAUAGACUUCCGGUAACAACCUAUAUGUUUUUAGAACUGUGGGCUAGGGAGAAAUGCAGAGAAGAAUGAACAAAGGCCAUUAGAAGUUUAAGGACAAGCCAGGUUAGGUGCUGUAAGCGAGGAAGUAGCAGUAGGUAGACAAAGCUGUGCGCCGAGGUCAAGCGGCUAGUGUUCACGCUGGACUGUGCUUGGUCCUGGCUUGUAAGUGUGGGGGAGGGGAGAUGUUCAGGGGUGGAUACAGAGCGUACAUGAGGCAGCCAACUCUUAGGAUGAGAAGUAGGGCAUCUUUUCGGUGCACGGCCUGGAAGCCCGUCUCAGGGGACAGUGGGGAUGUGGAAGAUGAUCACAGGGCCACUUUCAUCUGCGCAUGUGACUUAAAGAUGUUCCAGUGUAUCUGCCCUUCACACUUCAGCAUGACUGAGUCAAUCCCAUUGCUCUCUUACGUCUGCACUGAUUUGAGCUGCUCUGCUCAAUAGGGACUUCAUUGCUAGGCGUACGCCUGGUAGGGAAAGGGCUAAAUGAAGGCUAAGAAUUUGUAACACUUCAGAGAAAGAACCUGAGGACAGUGAAGAAAAAUGCAGAAAGGGAAAGCUGUGGUUGAUAAGAAGUCUUCUCUCUCUCUCUGUCUAUCUCUUUAUUUUCUCAAUAUAUUGUCCAAGAUCAUCUCUUUUUUUGUUGUUUCUUUUUUUAAACAACUUCCAUGACUGUAAACACUAUCCCAUGGUAAUUCCCUCCCCUCAGUUUCUCCUUUGAAACUCCAUUCUCCAUCAUA